UCCUGACUGACCGAUAGUGAACCAGUACCGUGAGGGAAAGGCGAAAAGAACCCCGGCGAGGGGAGUGAAAAAGAACCUGAAACCGUGUACGUACAAGCAGUGGGAGCACGCUUAGGCGUGUGACUGCGUACCUUUUGUAUAAUGGGUCAGCGACUUAUAUUCUGUAGCAAGGUUAACCGAAUAGGGGAGCCGAAGGGAAACCGAGUCUUAACUGGGCGUUAAGUUGCAGGGUAUAGACCCGAAACCCGGUGAUCUAGCCAUGGGCAGGUUGAAGGUUGGGUAACACUAACUGGAGGACCGAACCGACUAAUGUUGAAAAAUUAGCGGAUGACUUGUGGCUGGGGGUGAAAGGCCAAUCAAACCGGGAGAUAGCUGGUUCUCCCCGAAAGCUAUUUAGGUAGCGCCUCGUGAAUUCAUCUCCGGGGGUAGAGCACUGUUUCGGCAAGGGGGUCAUCCCGACUUACCAACCCGAUGCAAACUGCGAAUACCGGAGAAUGUUAUCACGGGAGACACACGGCGGGUGCUAACGUCCGUCGUGAAGAGGGAAACAACCCAGACCGCCAGCUAAGGUCCCAAAGUCAUGGUUAAGUGGGAAACGAUGUGGGAAGGCCCAGACAGCCAGGAUGUUGGCUUAGAAGCAGCCAUCAUUUAAAGAAAGCGUAAUAGCUCACUGGUCGAGUCGGCCUGCGCGGAAGAUGUAACGGGGCUAAACCAUGCACCGAAGCUGCGGCAGCGACGCUUAUGCGUUGUUGGGUAGGGGAGCGUUCUGUAAGCCUGCGAAGGUGUGCUGUGAGGCAUGCUGGAGGUAUCAGAAGUGCGAAUGCUGACAUAAGUAACGAUAAAGCGGGUGAAAAGCCCGCUCGCCGGAAGACCAAGGGUUCCUGUCCAACGUUAAUCGGGGCAGGGUGAGUCGACCCCUAAGGCGAGGCCGAAAGGCGUAGUCGAUGGGAAACAGGUUAAUAUUCCUGUACUUGGUGUUACUGCGAAGGGGGGACGGAGAAGGCUAUGUUGGCCGGGCGACGGUUGUCCCGGUUUAAGCGUGUAGGCUGGUUUUCCAGGCAAAUCCGGAAAAUCAAGGCUGAGGCGUGAUGACGAGGCACUACGGUGCUGAAGCAACAAAUGCCCUGCUUCCAGGAAAAGCCUCUAAGCAUCAGGUAACAUCAAAUCGUACCCCAAACCGACACAGGUGGUCAGGUAGAGAAUACCAAGGCGCUUGAGAGAACUCGGGUGAAGGAACUAGGCAAAAUGGUGCCGUAACUUCGGGAGAAGGCACGCUGAUAUGUAGGUGAAGUCCCUUGCGGAUGGAGCUGAAAUCAGUCGAAGAUACCAGCUGGCUGCAACUGUUUAUUAAAAACACAGCACUGUGCAAACACGAAAGUGGACGUAUACGGUGUGACGCCUGCCCGGUGCCGGAAGGUUAAUUGAUGGGGUCAGCGCAAGCGAAGCUCUUGAUCGAAGCCCCGGUAAACGGCGGCCGUAACUAUAACGGUCCUAAGGUAGCGAAAUUCCUUGUCGGGUAAGUUCCGACCUGCACGAAUGGCGUAAUGAUGGCCAGGCUGUCUCCACCCGAGACUCAGUGAAAUUGAACUCGCUGUGAAGAUGCAGUGUACCCGCGGCAAGACGGAAAGACCCCGUGAACCUUUACUAUAGCUUGACACUGAACAUUGAGCCUUGAUGUGUAGGAUAGGUGGGAGGCUUUGAAGUGUGGACGCCAGUCUGCAUGGAGCCGGCCUUGAAAUACCACCCUUUAAUGUUUGAUGUUCUAACGUGGACCCGUGAUCCGGGUUGCGGACAGUGUCUGGUGGGUAGUUUGACUGGGGCGGUCUCCUCCUAAAGAGUAACGGAGGAGCACGAAGGUUGGCUAAUCCUGGUCGGACAUCAGGAGGUUAGUGCAAUGGCAUAAGCCAGCUUGACUGCGAGCGUGACGGCGCGAGCAGGUGCGAAAGCAGGUCAUAGUGAUCCGGUGGUUCUGAAUGGAAGGGCCAUCGCUCAACGGAUAAAAGGUACUCCGGGGAUAACAGGCUGAUACCGCCCAAGAGUUCAUAUCGACGGCGGUGUUUGGCACCUC
RNAcentral lists this ribosomal RNA (2068 nucleotides) under Shigella sonnei. RNAcentral's name for it is "partial 23S ribosomal RNA". It matches the Rfam family "Bacterial large subunit ribosomal RNA", at positions 474 to 2527 of the family's 2925-position model. The record is from RNAcentral. Lineage: Bacteria; Pseudomonadati; Pseudomonadota; Gammaproteobacteria; Enterobacterales; Enterobacteriaceae.